GCGGACGGACGGUGGGGCGCCCUCGCGCCAUACAACCACGUCGGCAUCCGGCGAUGAUGGGACGUAGAACCAAACCUAACCCCCUUCCCGUUCGCUCCUCCCCAGAUCCCUCCUGCUCGGCCGCCGGGAGCGCUGCCGCCACCGCUGCUUGCACAUCUAGAGUUUAUCCCUGGUAUCUCUCUCCAAUCCCCGCUCAUCCUCCCAGUCCCGUUCCUCCUCACCCAUCCCCAGUCUCCUUCUCCUUCACCCCCUCCACCAUCUUCGUUUGGGCGGACAGUGACGGCGGCGGCUGAUGCGGGAAUGAGAGGGGACGGCGUAGGGAGGAGGAGCAGGCGGAGGAGAUGGAUCGGCAGGAAGAUGUUGGUCUGGAACCUCCAUGCUCGACAACUCUACAUCUAGCAGCGGCCCAGCAGGGCUCAGGCUCGUCCAACACUUUCUCCACCUCAACGCCCUGCAUAUUUUAGACCAGAAAAAUGCAGCGGCAGCUUCAACUGGGCGUGCACGGGAGCAGCAGCAAGGAGGAAAUUGUUUUGCAGUACCUUGUGGUGUUCAUCUGAACUAGGAUUCCCUCUAGAAUUGAAGUAUGUUAUUAUGGCUGUCAGUUAAUCAAUGAAGCUAUACUUGCUAGGAGGUAGCUGACUGAGCAGUAAUAUUUAAGUUGAUAUAACCUCACAUACAAAAGUUAUUAAUAAUAGAGAUUCGUUUAAGAUAAUUUGAGGUGACCACUGCUAGCAUCGUCUAUAAUUUUCUGGUUUUGUCAAAUUAUGAUACUGAUUUUCGUACCAGAUAGUACGAUACUUUGUAGCGAAUGGGCUCCGAAAAAGAGAAGCAUCAUGCCGUACUGUGGAUUGAGGAGAUUGCAUAGUUCCGCAAGAUUUUGUGUUGCUUCAUCAAGGCACAUCAAUAUAUUCUGACACUAACCUUUCUCUUUCUCUCUGCACUUCUAUGUAAUGUGUAAUAUUUACCUUCCUUUUUCAAUCUGCGGUUUUAUGGAGUGUGUGAUCUAUUCCCCUAAAGUUGUUUGGUGCUUCUCCCCUGGACAUUGGACAUUGUAUCGCUCAAUCGGGGCAAUUUGGUUCCGUAAAAGUUCUCUUUGCAUUCAUAUUCAUUUAGAUAUGUGUACCAACAUAUAUCUUCCCCUGAAAUAUGCACCUUCCCUGGUUUGUGACAAAUGGGUAUUGUGUGAUUCAGGUGUGCUGCUUCUACCUGCAUACAUCCUGCUAAGUCAAAGGUCAAAGGCGACUUUCUGGACAUUGACCAUUCAGGUAAUUAUAUUUUUCUUAAGUGCUGCCCUUUUUUCUAAUUGCAGCUUGGAUUCUUCGUUUUUCUAUAGAGGGUGUGUCUCUAUUAACUGAAAACAGUAGUUAGUGUACAUGGUAUUUCUUUUUUAACAUGCCUAUCAUGUCAAGAUUGUUUAUCAUGCAUUACUAACAAUUUUUUUGGUCUGCACAACAAACAAACCCAUUACUGUGGCUAGAUGUGACACUUUAGAGUUCAAAUCUUUAGGUACAGUUAUAAUUACCAUCGUGUUUAUCCUUGGAGAAAGUAGCACAAAGCUAUGUUAUAUGCUGCUCUCAAUGAGUCAGUGAGAGCCAAUAUUAUUUUCAAGUAGAUAAUUACAUUUUCUUACCACUCAGUUUUGCAACUUUUUAAAAUUACAUGAAUUCCCUAUACUCACAUUUUGACUUAUUGCCAUCUACUUAACCAAGUAUACAGAUGUUCUCUUAAAAGAGAUCAGUCAACAUGUAUCUGUAGGAAGUUAGAAGUGCAGAUGCAGCUGGCUAAUCUAGACAUAAAAAGAUCAAGCUCUCACAAGCACACACAAUGUUUGAGCACAAAUACAAUGGCCCUGUUCUUACGUACACAUUUUGGAUUAUUUCCAUCCACUUAAAUAGGUAUCCAGAGUUGUGUUUAGUAGGAACUUAGAAGUGCAGAUGCAGCUGACUAAUUUUAUCUCUCACAAGCACACAGUAGGUGAAAAAAGACUUGGAAGUAAAUCGAGUAGAAUCAUUCCGAGGUUGAAAAGGCUCUAGCAAUCAGUCCACAUAACCAUUAAUAUCGUAAUAAUUGGGUAUCCCGAAGUUACACUCAUCAAUAAGACAAUGUAUAUUUCGAAUAUUAGCUUUCCUUUUAUUUUUUCAGCUUAGCAGUGCAAAUCUGAAACAGGUGAAUCAAAGGUAUGAUAUUGUGUUUUUGUUGCUGACUUCAUUUACUACAUCAUGGUAUUCUCCGUCAUUGAGGCGGCUCAAGCGUGCUCUUUUCUACAUGGCCAUGUCGCUUGUGAUCUGGCCCUCUGCUUUUGGUGCACAGCUGCCUACAGCCCGUGCACUUUGUGACAUCUUAUUGCGUUGAAGGUGAGGCAUGGGAUAACUCAAUCAUGUGCAAUGCUUCUGUUGUGUGAUUAUCGUUGCUUCUGUUGUAGGUGAGGCAUUGGGUGACUUAUUCGUAUGGGCAUGGUUUGAGGUUAACAUGUUAUAUAUCCAUUCAGAACAGAGCAUGUUAUAUGCAAGAGGCCCAUGGUUUUGUUUUGUGAUGUUGACGAACUGCUACCACAAAGAACGAAAGAUAUUAAUGGAUGGUGGCAAGAAGGCUGGCAAUUCCGAGUUCUUGGUGUUUAACAAGAUAAGGGAAGGCAUGCUUCUUUUGUUUGGUAAUUUGUUAAUGGUUGAUUUUUGGCAAUAGAUGCUACCACUCUAUACUGAAGACCAUUUGGAUUCUGAUGUAUCCAAGCAAUACUCCUUGUUGCCCUCCUCUCAGUUAUUCAGAGUGUAUAUAUACUCCAGACAUACGUAUAGUACAACCGUCCAUUUUCAAGAAGCUACUUUGGUGAACAACAUGGUCUCCAAAAUACACCAUUGACCGGUAAAUUCUAUCCUUAUAUUUUAGUUUCCCAUGUUGCCAAGGAUGACACUUGGAAGGUAUCUAGGUACUCUCGGGGUCAUGUAUUUCCUACACGCAUAAGAGGAAUCAAUAGAAGCCACCUACAAAUGAACAAAAUGCCAUAUGUCUAUGCUUAAUGGUGAACAAAAGACCAUAUGUCUAUGCUGAAUGGGGCCUCAAGAAUCUCAAAGCACAAGAUGCACCAAAAUAGGACGUGUUAAUCAAUCUAAAUAUCAACUAUUUUUCAUGUUGUUUCAAGUUUAAACUCUAAAUUAGAUCUGAUGUGUACAUGCUUCUACAAGUCAAUGGAUAUGAUGACGAACUUUAAUACUAGAGUUCGGUUCCAUUAAAAGUUGGUAAUUACUUUGUCGAUAACCCAUUAAUGAAAGGAGGCUUCCGCUGCAAAUGCGCUGGCUCUGUUAGACCUUGUUUAAAUGCCACCGGUCCCAGAAAUGAGAGUAUUAAAACAAUAGAUCCUCGAAGUAUAACUAUCCGCCAAAUCCAAAUUUGCUUAAUUAUAGGGAAGCCAAAUGUUUGAACAAUACACAUCAUAUGGUUUUGGAGCUUGAUCGGUAACCCACCUUGUAGGGUUGGAUGUCUCAAGUGAUUCUAAUGCAACAAAUGCUCUGUAACGAGUUUUGAAAAAUACAAAAGCAGCUGCUCAUUCCUGUGUACAGUUCCACAAUUAAAAUUAUUUACUUGCACCAGAUAAAUCCAUCUGAGUAAUGGUUUGUGUUUGAUGCCUGCCAGUAAUUGUUUGUUCAUUCGGCGCUUAGCAAGGCAAUAUUGUGGCUUGGAAAAACAUGUAGUAAUAACGAAGGCACUAAAAGAAAAUAGAAAUUUUGAAAAUGCUCUCUGUGAAUGCCAAGAAACGACAAUAUAUUCAGAAAUAAGCUUUGUAAAUCUCCUUAAAAAAUAGCAUGCGGGCCAAUCAGACCAAGUCUGACUUGUUUUCAUUACCAAACAACUAUUUUUGUGCAUGUUUUUAGAUACCUCAGACUCACCUGAUUCUGAAUUUUCAUUUAUCAUAAUGAUUGCAAAAUGAUUUUCAAUUUAUUUAUCUCCUCACUCAUGGACAAACGAAUUACCUUCAAUUUCUCCAGGAGUUUGAUGUAUGUUUUCACAAAUUGUUACUUUUUUUCUUAUCGUCUACUAUCAGUAUUUGAGAAUAGUUCUCACAAAAAGUAAAGCUCUGGAGUCUGAUAUGUAUUUCUCUAGACCUUGUAUAAAUGCCACUGGUCCCAGAAAUAAGAGCAUUAAAGCAAUAGAUCCUCGAAGCAUAACUAUCCGCCAAAUCCAAAUCUUCUUAAUCAUAGGGAAGCCAAAUAUUUGACCAAUGCACAUCGUCUGGUUUUGGAGCUUGAUCGGUAACCCACCUUGUAGGGUUCCAUGUAUCAAGUGAUUCUAAUGCAACAAAUGCUCUAUAACGAGUUUUAAAAAUACAAAAGCAGCUGCACAUUCCUGUGUAUAGUUCCACAAUUAAAAUUAAUUACUUACACCAUAUAAAUCCAUUUGGGUAAUGGUUUGUGUUUGAUGCCUGGCACUAAUUGUUUGUUCAUUCGGGGCUUAGCAAGGCAAUAUUGUGGCUUGGAAAAACAUGUAGUAAAAACGAUGGCACUAAAAGAAAAUAUAAAAUUUUGAAAAUGCUCUCUGUGAAUGCCAAGAAAAGACAAUAUAUUCAGAAAUAAUCUUUGUAAACCUCCUUAAGAAAUAGCAUGCGGGCCAAUCAGACCAAGUCCUAUUUGUUUUCAUUACCAAACAGCUAUUGUUGUGCAUGUUUUUAGAUACCUCAGACUCACCUGAUUCUGAAUUUUCAUUUAUCACAAUGAUUGCAAAAUGUUUUUUAAUCUAUUUAUCUCCUCAUUCAUGGACAACCGACUUACCUUCAAUUUCUCCAGGAGUUCGAUGUAUGUUUUCACAAAUUGUUAUGUUUUUCUGUUCGGUUACUGUCAGUAUUUUAGAAUAAUUCUCACAAAAAAGUAGAGCUCUGGACUCUUUGCAAUCAUGGGCAAACUCUACAGAGGAAAUAUCCAACAAAGGAAACGAGAAAUUGCUGCACUGAUGAAAUGAUUCCUAUAAGUAGAAACGGAAUGAAAGGCCAAUUUCUGUUCCAAUGGAACACCGUGCUGGUGCUUCCGAGAGAUGCAGCUGGAGCAUGUUGUGUGGUGGCUGAUGGCUCUUCUUGUGAAGCUGUGUUUGAAGACUCUACAUUGCCGCCGGAAGGUCCUACUGUGUCCAUGAAGGUGUCGGAAAUCCAAUCUACAGAUUAUGAAAUAGCAUAUACAUUGAAGAAGCAACUUACAUGGUCAUCAGAGAUUUUCACUACGCUCAACUUGAAGAGAUAGAAUAUACUAAUGAAUACCUGAUGUGUGAAGUCAAACAGUUCCUAAGCUUAGAAACAAGGUUGCAUUUAUAAAAUUAUUGUGUAUUCUGUAGUCCCCGUAGCCUAUUCAAUUUUGCUGUAGCCUAUUCAAUUUUGUUGUUUGAUCUCUUUUGCAACAGUAGGUAUUAUCACCAAUGGUUGGUCGGUUA
Long non-coding RNA from Lolium perenne, 5412 nucleotides. RefSeq lists it as uncharacterized. NCBI's taxonomy places the organism in Eukaryota, Viridiplantae, Streptophyta, Magnoliopsida, Poales, Poaceae. The record is from RefSeq and is a predicted model, not a curated record.